RNAcentral lists this non-coding RNA (125 nucleotides) under Streptomyces griseoruber. Lineage: Bacteria; Bacillati; Actinomycetota; Actinomycetes; Kitasatosporales; Streptomycetaceae. The record is from RNAcentral.
AGGGAAUCCGGUGCGAAUCCGGAGCUGACGCGCAGCGGUGAGGGCGACGGGCGGGGCAACGGCCACUGGACGGCGGAGCGGUCCGGGAAGGCGCCCCGUCCGGGUGACCCCGAGUCCGAAGACCU